GAUGAACGCUGGCGGCGUGCCUAAUACAUGCAAGUCGAGCGAACGGACGAGAAUCUUGCUUCUCUGAUUUUAUCGCCGGACGGGUGAUUAACCCUUGUUUAACCUACCUUUAAGUCUGGGAUAACUUCGGGAAACCUUAUCUAAUACCGGAUAAUAUUUUGAACCUCAUGUUUCAAUAGUGAAAUACGUUUUUUCUGUCUCUUAUAGAUUUAUCCCCGCUGCAUUAGCUAGUUGGUAAGGUAACGGCUUACCAAGGCAACGAUGCGUAGCCGACCUGAGAGGGUGAUCGGCCACACGGGAACUGAGACACGGACCAGACUCCUACGGGAGGCAGCAGUAGGGAAUGUUCCGCAAUGGGCGAAAGCCUGACGGAGCAAAGCCGCGUGAGUGAUGAAGGUCUUCGGAUCGUAAAACUCUGUUAUUAGGGAAGAACAAAUGUGUAAGUAACUGUGCACAUCUUGACGGUACCUAAUCAGAAAGCCACGGCUAACUACGUG
This 497-nucleotide ribosomal RNA is filed under the name uncultured bacterium. RNAcentral's name for it is "partial 16S ribosomal RNA". It matches the Rfam family "Bacterial small subunit ribosomal RNA", at positions 28 to 507 of the family's 1533-position model. The record is from RNAcentral.